Molecule: non-coding RNA, 1651 nt
Organism: Heterocephalus glaber (naked mole-rat)
Lineage: Eukaryota; Metazoa; Chordata; Mammalia; Rodentia; Bathyergidae
Source: RefSeq, a predicted model, not a curated record
CCUCUAACCUGUCCUCUGGCCACCCUCUGGUCAAGCUGCUGACAAUCAUGAUGAAUCCUGAUCACAAUCUUGCUUCACAAGAGAACCAAAUGAACAGAUGGUCAGAAAUCCGAAUUCUUCAUCAACACCACUGAGAAACAGCCCUCUGUCCCCUGUCAAAAGCAGUUUUUCUGGACAAACUGGUGUCUCUUCUCUCAAACCAGGCCCACUCCCACCUAACCUGGAUGAUCUCAAGGUACAAGACUUGACCUGAUUUUCAUUUCUUUUUAACAGAUACAGCAAUAUAAUUAUCGUCAGCAUCUUUGAGAGAAGAGUAUGGGAGAGACUUGUAGUAGCGGCAGUGUUUAGGCUCCAGUGGCAAGCCACCAAGAGAGGACAAAGCUACAGGUCCUCAACUCAGCUUUCCUGAGCAAUGAUUCCUAGGGACAGAUAGUCUUUACGUUUUUUGGCAUCUUAGAUGUCUCAUUUACACAAAUGAACUAUUUUAAUGGUCAAAUGGAAUAGUAUGUAUGAUAGAACUCAGCACAGUGUUAAUGUGCAGUUUAUAAAACCUCCAGAAUGCUCUAAACCAGUGGUCCAUCCAAUGAGGAUAUUUUUACCAAUCUCUGGCAAAAUGAGAAAAAUAAGAACCAUGUAAAGUGCUUUUCAUAUACCUAAGUACAUUCCAUGAAUUUAACAUGUAUUGAAAGUAUACAUUUCUUCACAAUGUUUUGAAUUUUAAGUUAUUCUUUCUGUUAGAAAAUGAUGAAGGUAGUAGAAGGCAGUUUAGUGUUUUUGGUAAGGUUAUAUUUGGUCCCUGGUAUUAAAUAAUGAUCCUAUUCCUUACCAAAAAAAAUAAAAUGUUGGUAACUCAGUGUUACUAAUGUAAAGUAAUUUUUUGUUCUACUAAAUUCUCAAAUCUGGAAACUUCUGUCCUGAAGCAGCACCUCUUUAAAUGUUACAUGCAUUCCACAGCUUAUGCCAAAUCACAGACCACAUGGAUCUCAGUUUUGCGAAAUGACAUUGAACUUUGAGUAGAACCUGGUGUGUUUCAAAGCAAUGCUUAGGCCCAACAUAUUCAUCCAUCUAUCCAGUAGUCACAGCAGAACUGAAAAACACAAAUGUAACCUCUCUGGUGUGUGACUACAAUUCAAUUCCCACUCCAUUCUCAGUAAUCACACUUGUUAAACUGGUUUCCAACCCACCUAUUACUCUCCACACACUGUCUUAUAAUUUUCCCCAAAAACUACACCCCUAAAGGUUCCCAUACCUUCAUUAUGCCAAUCGUAUGGCCCUUCUUCCUUCUCAGUCCUCGGAUCCAUCUCAUUUCCACCCACAUCCACUGCCAUCAUAUUCUUGGGAUGGAGAAUGGAAGUAGAAUUUGGCUCAUUUCAGAUUAAAGGAGAUUCCAUGGCUGCAGAGCAUCAACACUAGUAAUAAAAUGUAUCAUAGAUCCUGAUAUCAAAAACUCUUCUAUUCUUUCUUCUUGAAUUAAAAAUGCUUAGGUUUCAUUAAGCUUGUUUCAAUUUGGCAUCCACACCCCCAGAAAAAGACGCUAAGUUUGUGAUAAUGCUCUGGAGCCAUGGGUCUUCCACCCUCAACUCCCCAAAUCAUAAAUCCAUAGAGAUAAAAAAAAAAGCAUUAUGCUAAGCCCACUCAAAGGGACGAAUAU